Molecule: long non-coding RNA, 4276 nt
Filed under: Sus scrofa (pig)
Lineage: Eukaryota; Metazoa; Chordata; Mammalia; Artiodactyla; Suidae
Description: lncRNA (ENSSSCG00000059898.1)
Source: RNAcentral
CAGAAGAGGCGGGCCGGUAGCCGGGACCCGGUUCCUGGCACACGGCCUCCAGACAGCGACGCGAGAUGUUUGCACCUGCGGUGACCUGGCCCGCGCCUGCGCAGACGGACGCCUCCCACGCGGCACCGGGAUCACGCCCUUGGUUCGAGGCUGCGCGGGGCGACCUGGUGAGCGUGCAGCACUGCCCCAGGUCCCCAGAGUGGAGUCUGGAAGACCGGCUCUGCCCUCAGGGGGCCCCGGUCUGGAGUCAGAGGAGCGGGGAAGGGGCUAGGGUCUCAGGGUGGGCGUCCUAGGGUGAGGUCCGGAGAGGAGCCAGCCUGGGCUCCACUCUGGGCGUCCUUGGGCGGAGGCGGGCGACUGAGAUAGUUCUGGGGCUGGACGGCCUGGCUCCCCGCGUGCUCCCCCCAGCCGCGUGUAAGCGGCUCCGUCUGCAGAGUCUUUGGACGCUGCCUGGCCGCGAGCACCCUCAGGCGCCAGGUCCCUGUCCUGACGGGGCUCUGGGCCAGCAAUGGCCUGGGGCUGCCCGGCUUGUUGGAGGAUCGUUCCUUGCAGGAGGAGCCCCCUCCCAUCAUCUCUUCCUCGGAAGCCGGAAGCCGGAGGGACUGGCAUCCUUCCUGGCCGACCUCACGCGACCCUCCCCCAGGCCUCUCCCUCUGUGAAAGAUCCGCCCCCACCGCACUCCCAGGGAAUCCCAGCCCCUGAACCCCCCCCGCCCCGCGUUGUCUCCCGGGCGUGUCCACGCAGGUCACCCUGCCCCAUCGCCUGCCAUAGCUCCAGAGCCCCUGCGCCUGCGGGCCUCACGGUGGCUUGUAGUGCGCUGCGUGGCCGGCUUCGUGGUUCGAGGGGCAUCCCCAGGCUCUUUGUAGGCUUCCCUGGAGCUCGCAUCCACCCUGCGGGGUGAACAGGGGCUGCAGGGCCUGGAAGAGGAGAAAACCGGGGGAGAUUGGUGUGGGGAGGGAGUAGUGAGGAAAUGCCUACACGUGUGCUAGGUCUGCUGGGAGGGGCUGCUAGGGACCUGGCUGAAGACAAGAGCAAAGCCUGGAGCAAGGAAGGGGGACACAGAGUCAGCCCCCAAUCCUGUUUGAGCACCAGCUAUGCACCAGGGGCAGACAAACAGCAACAAGCUGAAAAAUAAGCCCAGAAAUGCCACUUGGUGCCCAGUGUGGAUGGAAGGAGCCAGGACGAGCUGCAGGAGGACAAGCAUCCACACGGGGGACGGAGUCCAAAGCCCUGAGGCAGAGUCCUGCGGCGAGGCCAGGCACCCUCCCUGGGGCUUCCAGGAUGGUCCUACCUCCUGGGGCCGGAACUCACUGCCAGCCUCCUCUCCCCCCAGCCUGCCUCGUGGCUCCAGGAGAGUCCUGACCCCGAGGUCUCUAUUGCAGACCACGCCUCUCCAUUCACACUGUAGUAACUGCCUCUAAGGAAACCUCAGGCUUUAUCUUUCUCCAUUUGCAAGAAAAUGGACUGUGGGAAAAACAUCUUGGAAAGGAAACUCCACAUCUGACCUUUACUGCAGACUUUCACUGUGUUUCGUAUUCACUAAAAUGGCAAAGAUACUUCAUCGCACCAUCCCAUGACCCGUUUUUGUUGUUUUUGUCUGUCAUUCAUGGCAUGUGAAGUUCUCAGGCUUAGGGGCCAAAUCGGAGUCACAGCAAUGCCAGAUCCAAGCUGAGUCUUCGACCUACAACCUAGCUCACAGCAACGCCCCAUCCUUAAGCCACUGAGUGAGGCUAGAGAUCGAACCUCAGUCCUCAUAGAUACUAGUUGGGUUCAUAACCUGCUGAGCCACAAUGGGAACUCCCUGAACUUCUUAGAAUACCUUCCAAAAUAACUAGCAGCUUCUAGAAGACACUUAACACUAAACCUCUGCUUGGGAUGCACAUCGAAAUUCUGGACAGGCCCAGCAGAUGCUCGUUUCUGUUGGUUCUAGAUGCUGCAGUCUGAGUUCAGGGUGCCAGCAUGUGGGUUCUCCUGAGGACACAGCCCUGUCCUGCAGAUGCCACCUUCUGGCCCAUGGUGGUUGUGGGAGUCCCAACCCCAUGACCUCGUCCAACCCUAAUUGCCCCCAAAGGCCCGCUUCCAAAGACCAUCACAAGGGGGUAGAGUUUUGGCAUAUUCAUCAGUGGGAGAGUCAAUGCAGUUUAAGCCACCUAGCUGGUGGUGCUUUGUGGCAGGAACCCAGGCAAAGUGAGGUGCCCACAGAUGCUUCGGGGCUGCCUGGAAGGCCGGGAAAUGGCUGCUUCUGCCUUAAUUGGGACUGGCUUCUUUCACCCAAGGUUUUGUCUUGAAUUCCGCUGAGGGGGCAUGUGAGUAUCUGGCCCCCUGUGUGCUGCCGAGUGUCCCUUCUAGGGCAGUGGGCUUGGGUGCUGGUACCAGACUCGGGCUGUUCUGAAAAAUGCUUGGGAAUAUUCCUGUCCAGGUGUUUGGACACCACGUGUGCCCAGGUCCACAUGUCUGCUUAGCAUUUGCUUCAUUUGCUCCUGGCUCAAACAGCCUUCCAAAAGUGCGCAGAGAAAUAAAAGUUGGCACUUCCACGGGCAACGCGGGAGACUUUCAGUUUCACAAGCUCAGCCUUUCCGGUGGGGCGCAGAGGUAUUUGGGUGGCUUCGGCUUUUGCUGCGGCGGCAGCCCAGGAGGGAGCCCAGCAUCCCGGGUCCUUCUGCCGUCUGCAGCUCUUCAAGUGAGGCUACGUCUGGUCCCUUUUCUAUUGACUGUCUCUGUCUUGUUGAUUUGAAACUGUUCUCUAUAUAUUCUGGGGGUGGUUUUUUGUCGGGUACAGGCACUUAUCAGUAUUCUUUGUCACACUCUGUAAAGUCCCCUCGGCCUUGGACUCCCUGACCAGCCAGCCUGAAACUCAGGGCUGCUCCCCGCCAGCCCGGGUCACCCCACUUCACCAGCGGUCAGCCUGGUUCCCUGUGCGCUUCCGUUUGAAGGGGGCUUAUUGAACAGACGUGGCUGACUCAGGAGCCCAGGCCCAGGCAGCAGCACCAUCACUCGGCCUGGACAAAGCUCGCCCAGCACCCAGUCGGCUCCGUCGGGCAUCCCAGGCUCCUGCACUCAGAGCUCCGGGCGGAAGGAGCCCUGGGCUGGGGGCCCUGAAGCAGCAAGUCACCCACUGAGCCCCAAAGGCAAAAAUGUGGCACCAAACAGGUGGAAGAGGACUUGCCCCCGGAUGAGCUGGAGCAGGAAAGCGGGGGACACCAAGGGGACCCCGAGGGUGCAAAGGCAGGCUCUGCGAAUAUCGGGCAGACUGUGUCUGCCCCUUCACACCAGCAGCCCAGCGCCAGCUCAGUGGGGGCUCUUGGAGCGUGGGCUGUAUUUCCCUUCUGGGGAGGGCCUUUAAAUCCUUGAGCUGUGAAGACACCCUUGUCUGAGAAGACGGCUGUCUGCCUUUCCCACGGGCGCCUCCCAGCUGCCAGCCUGUGUGGCAGUGGUCGUGUCCACUCGGCUGAUACAUGACCAGGUAAGGGUGAGACUGGGCCCGCUCAGGUGUGGGGCGGCCUGAAGUGGAUGGGGCUCUCUUUAAGAAACAGUGAACAAUUAUUUCGAUAAAAUUGGGAGCACCUUUAUUCUGAAGGAGAGAAAAACAUCACAACAAAUUAAACAUUAAGACAUUGGCAAAGGAGGAGUUCCCGCUGUGGUACAGUGGGUUAAGGAUCUGGCGUUGCCACAAGUAUGGCAUAGGGCUCAGCUGUGGCUCAGAUUUGAUUUGAUACCUGGCCUGGGAAUUUCCAUAUGCUGUGAGUGCAACCAAAAAAAAAAAAAAAAAAAAAAGACAUGUAAGGAUAAUUUGAUCCACUUGCUGUACAGUGGGAAAAUAAAAUAUAUAUAUAAAAAAAAAUGACACUCACGAAAAAAGGAGUUCCCUUGGGGUGCAGGUGGUUAAGAACUCAGCAUUGUCACUGCUGUGAUGCGGGUUCCGCCCCUGGCCCAAGAAGGUCUGCAUGCUUCAGGUGUGGCCAAAGGAAAAAAAAAGUCAAGGCCAUUAUCACAACGGCAGAGAACCUUGUCAUGUUUCUUCACAUAUGAGCUGGGAGGUUUCAGGGUGGCACAGUUUUCUUGUGCCACAACCAAUCUGAAAUACCCUCCUGAUCUGUCCAAACUUCUUACGUUGUGUCCUCGUCACAUUGGCUGGUAGGCCUGCAUUCUCUUGUUGAUGUCAGCAUUUCCUGCUACAUCAGCGGCUGUUUAACCAUUUUCCAAAAGUCGGGUGACUCACUCCUUCCUCCGGGUUAAUUGCUUCAGGGUUCCUGGAAGCCGUUUUCUGCACCAGCGU